CCCCCAGUAGCUCAGAGGAAGAGCAGAGGCUUUCUAAUCCUUAGGUCGGGUGUUCGAUUCGCCCCUGGGGGA
Molecule: transfer RNA, 72 nt
Filed under: Candidatus Microbacterium stercoravium
Lineage: Bacteria; Bacillati; Actinomycetota; Actinomycetes; Micrococcales; Microbacteriaceae
Description: tRNA-Arg
Rfam family: tRNA
About the family: Transfer RNA (tRNA) molecules are approximately 80 nucleotides in length. Their secondary structure includes four short double-helical elements and three loops (D, anti-codon, and T loops). Further hydrogen bonds mediate the characteristic L-shaped molecular structure. tRNAs have two regions of fundamental functional importance: the anti-codon, which is responsible for specific mRNA codon recognition, and the 3' end, to which the tRNAs corresponding amino acid is attached (by aminoacyl-tRNA synthetases). tRNAs cope with the degeneracy of the genetic code in two manners: having more than one tRNA (with a specific anti-codon) for a particular amino acid; and 'wobble' base-pairing, i.e. permitting non-standard base-pairing at the 3rd anti-codon position.
Source: RNAcentral